RNAcentral lists this transfer RNA (85 nucleotides) under Chloroflexota bacterium. RNAcentral's name for it is "Chloroflexi bacterium tRNA-Leu". It matches the Rfam family "tRNA". From Rfam's summary of the family: Transfer RNA (tRNA) molecules are approximately 80 nucleotides in length. Their secondary structure includes four short double-helical elements and three loops (D, anti-codon, and T loops). RNAcentral also lists the same sequence under 1 other name. The record is from RNAcentral. Lineage: Bacteria; Bacillati; Chloroflexota.
GGGGGAGUGGCGGAAUUGGCAGACGCGCAUGACUUAGGAUCAUGUGGUGUAUACCGUGCGGGUUCAAGUCCCGCCUUCCCCAUCA